RNAcentral lists this ribosomal RNA (2367 nucleotides) under Clostridioides difficile. RNAcentral's name for it is "bacterial LSU rRNA". It matches the Rfam family "Bacterial large subunit ribosomal RNA", at positions 14 to 2403 of the family's 2925-position model. Lineage: Bacteria; Bacillati; Bacillota; Clostridia; Peptostreptococcales; Peptostreptococcaceae. The record is from RNAcentral.
AGGGUGCAGGGCGGAUGCCUUGGCACUAGGAGCCGAUGAAGGACGUGAUAAGCUGCGAUAAGCUUCGGGGAGUUGCACGUAAACUUUGAUCCGAAGAUUUCCGAAUGAGGAAACUCACUUAGAGUAAUGUCUAAGUAUCAUUAAGUGAAUACAUAGCUUAAUGAGGGGAACUCAGGGAACUGAAACAUCUAAGUACCUGAAGGAAGAGAAAGAAAUUCGAUUCCGUAAGUAGCGGCGAGCGAACGCGGAUUAGCCCAAACCAAUAAAGUUUUCUUUAUUGGGGUUGCGGACAUAUCAUAACGAAGAGGUAUCGUAAUUGAAGAGGUUUGGAAAGACCCACCACAGAAGGUAAUAGUCCUGUAUGUUAAACGAGAAGACUUCAGAUAUGAUCCAGAGUACCACGGGACACGUGAAACCCUGUGGGAAGCAGGAGGGACCACCCUCCAAGGCUAAAUACUACCUAGUGACCGAUAGCGUAUAGUACCGUGAGGGAAAGGUGAAAAGAACCCCGGGAGGGGAGUGAAAUAGAACCUGAAACCCUGCACUUACAAGCUGUGGAAGCACAUUUCUUGUGUGACCGCGUACUUUUUGUAGAACGGGCCAACGAGUUACGUUAAGUAGCAAGGUUAAGCACUUAAGGUGCGGAGCCGUAGCGAAAGCGAGUUUUAACUGAGCGUUCAGUUACUUGACGUAGACCCGAAACCGGGCGACCUACCCAUGAGCAGGAUGAAGCGAAAGUAAAAUUUCGUGGAGGUCCGAACCCACGAGCGUUGAAAAGCUCGGGGAUGACUUGUGGGUAGCGGUGAAAUUCCAAUCGAGCCCGGAGAUAGCUGGUUCUCCCCGAAAUAGCUUUAGGGCUAGCCUCAAGGUGAGAGAUACGGAGGUAGAGCACUGAAUGUCCUAGGGGGUAUUGCACCUACCGAAGACUAUCAAACUCCGAAUGCCGUCAUCUUAUACUUGGGAGUCAGACUGUGGGUGAUAAGAUUCAUAGUCGAAAGGGCAACAGCCCAGAUCGUCAGCUAAGGUCCCUAAAUGUAAGUUAAGUGGUAAAGGAUGUGGGAUUGCACAGACAACCAGGAUGUUGGCUUAGAAGCAGCCACUCAUUCAAAGAGUGCGUAAUAGCUCACUGGUCGAGUGAUCCUGCGCCGAAGAUUUCCGGGGCUAAAACUUACUACCGAAGCUACGGCAUCAGUAAUGAUGGGUAGGGGAGCUUCCCAUACGGGUUGAAGCAUGACCGUAAGGACAUGUGGACAGUAUGGGAGUGAGAAUGUUGGCAUGAGUAGCGAGAUGUGGGUGAGAAUCCCACAGGCCGUAAACCCAAGGUUUCCAGGGGAAGGUUCGUCCGCCCUGGGUUAGUCGGGACCUAAGCUGAGGCCGAAAGGCGUAGGUGAUGGACAACAGGUUGAUAUUCCUGUACUACCGAUAACCGUUUGAGAGAAGGGAUGACACAGUAGGAUAAGCUAAGCACACUGUUGGUUAUGUGUGCCCAAGCAUUGAGGCAGUCAAAGUAGGCAAAUCCGCUUUGAUAAUGCUGGGAUGUGAUGGGGAGCGAAAUUUAGUAGCGAAGUAGCUGAUUUCACACUGUCAAGAAAAGUCUCUAUCGAGGUUAAAGGUACCCGUACCGCAAACCGACACAGGUGGGUGAGGAGAGUAUCCUAAGGCCAGCGAGAGAACUGUUGUUAAGGAACUCGGCAAAAUGACCCCGUAACUUAGGGAUAAGGGGUGCCACCAUCAGGUGGCCGCAGAGAAUAGGCCCAAGCGACUGUUUACCAAAAACAUAGGUUUCUGCUAAGUCGCAAGACGAUGUAUAGGAGCUGACGCCUGCCCGGUGCUGGAAGGUUAAGGGGAUCUGUUAGAGCAAUCGAAGCAGUGAACUUAAGCCCCAGUAAACGGCGGCCGUAACUAUAACGGUCCUAAGGUAGCGAAAUUCCUUGUCGGGUAAGUUCCGACCCGCACGAAAGGCGUAACGAUUUGGGCACUGUCUCAACAACAGACUCGGUGAAAUUGUAAUUCCGGUGAAGAUGCCGGAUACCUGCGACAGGACGGAAAGACCCCAUGGAGCUUUACUGUAGCUUGACAUUGGGUCUUGGUACUACAUGUACAGGAUAGGUGGGAGGCUUUGAAACCAGGACGCCAGUUUUGGCGGAGCCAUCCUUGGGAUACCACCCUUGUAGUACUGGGACUCUAACCAUAGGCCAUGAAUCUGGUCUUGGGACACUGUCAGGUGGGCAGUUUGACUGGGGCGGUCGCCUCCCAAAAGGUAACGGAGGCGCUCAAAGGUUCUCUCAGUACGGUCGGAAAUCGUACGUAGAGUGUAAAGGCAAAAGAGAGCUUGAUUGCAAGACAUACAGGUCGAGCAAGGAUGAA